CCUACGGGGGGCAGCAGUGGGGAAUAUUGGACAAUGGGGGCAACCCUGAUCCAGCCAUGCCGCGUGUGUGAAGAAGGCCCUCGGGUUGUAAAGCACUUUCAGUGAGGAAGAACGCCUGGUGGUUAAUACCCAUCAGGAAAGACAUCACUCACAGAAGAAGCACCGGCUAACUCCGUGCCAGCAGCCGCGGUAAUACGGAGGGUGCGAGCGUUAAUCGGAAUUACUGGGCGUAAAGCGCGCGUAGGUGGCUUGAUAAGCCGGUUGUGAAAGCCCCGGGCUCAACCUGGGAACGGCAUCCGGAACUGUCAAGCUAGAGUGCAGGAGAGGAAGGUAGAAUUCCCGGUGUAGCGGUGAAAUGCGUAGAGAUCGGGAGGAAUACCGGUGGCGAAGGCGGCCUUCUGGACUGACACUGACACUGAGGUGCGAAAGCGUGGGUAGCAAACAGGAUUAGAUACCCUAGUAGU
RNAcentral lists this ribosomal RNA (464 nucleotides) under Vreelandella stevensii. Its description in RNAcentral is "partial 16S ribosomal RNA". It matches the Rfam family "Bacterial small subunit ribosomal RNA", at positions 338 to 794 of the family's 1533-position model. The record is from RNAcentral. Lineage: Bacteria; Pseudomonadati; Pseudomonadota; Gammaproteobacteria; Oceanospirillales; Halomonadaceae.